This 253-nucleotide ribosomal RNA is filed under the name uncultured bacterium. RNAcentral describes it as "partial 16S ribosomal RNA". It matches the Rfam family "Bacterial small subunit ribosomal RNA", at positions 524 to 776 of the family's 1533-position model. The record is from RNAcentral.
UACGUAGGGUGCAAGCGUUGUCCGGAAUUAUUGGGCGUAAAGAGCUCGUAGGCGGUCUGUCGCGUCUGCUGUGAAAACUCGGGGCUUAACCCCGGGCCUGCAGUGGGUACGGGCAGACUAGAGUGCGGUAGGGGAGACUGGAAUUCCUGGUGUAGCGGUGAAAUGCGCAGAUAUCAGGAAGAACACCCGUGGCUAAGGCGGCUCUCUAGUACGGUACUGACGCUGAGACGCGAAAGCGUGGGGAGCGAACAGG